AGAGUCUGAUCAUGGCUCAGAAUGAACGCUAGCUACAGGCUUAACACAUGCAAGUCGAGGGGCACCCUUGAGAUAGCUUGCUAUUUCAGAUGGCGACCGGCGCACGGGUGAGUAACGCGUAUCCAACCUGGCCCGUAGUAGGGAACAGCCCGGCGAAAGUCGGAUUAAUGCCCUAUGUUCUCCGAUGAAGACAUCUGAGUUGGAGCAAAGAUUCAUCGCUACGGGAUGGGGAUGCGUCUGAUUAGGUAGUAGGCGGGGUAACGGCCCACCUAGCCAACGAUCAGUAGGGGUUCUGAGAGGAAGGUCCCCCACAUUGGUACUGAGCCAGGAUCAAACUC
This 338-nucleotide ribosomal RNA is filed under the name uncultured Prevotella sp. Its description in RNAcentral is "bacterial SSU rRNA". It matches the Rfam family "Bacterial small subunit ribosomal RNA", at positions 8 to 338 of the family's 1533-position model. The record is from RNAcentral. Lineage: Bacteria; Pseudomonadati; Bacteroidota; Bacteroidia; Bacteroidales; Prevotellaceae.